CUACGGAUGGUGCGAGCGUUGUUCGGAAUUACUGGGCGUAAAGGGCGCGUAGGCGGCGAUGUAAGUCAAAUGUGAAAGUCCUCGGCUUAACCGGGGAAGUGCAUCUGAAACUGCAUUGCUUGAGUAUGGGAGAGGAAAGUGGAAUUCCCGGUGUAGAGGUGAAAUUCGUAGAGAUCGGGAGGAAUACCGGUGGCGAAGGCGACUUUCUGGACCAAUACUGACGCUGAGGCGCGAAAGCGUGGGGAGCAAACAGGAUUAGAAACCCUAGUAGUCC
Molecule: ribosomal RNA, 274 nt
Filed under: uncultured bacterium
Lineage: Bacteria
Description: partial 16S ribosomal RNA
Rfam family: Bacterial small subunit ribosomal RNA
Source: RNAcentral